Long non-coding RNA from Crotalus tigris (Tiger rattlesnake), 372 nucleotides. RefSeq lists it as uncharacterized. Lineage: Eukaryota; Metazoa; Chordata; Lepidosauria; Squamata; Viperidae. The record is from RefSeq and is a predicted model, not a curated record. The transcript is spliced from 4 exons.
GGGACACAGGGAAGAUCCCUGUGGCACUUCACUGGAUAUUUUCCUCCAGGCUGAAGCAGAGCCAUGAAUGAGAACCUUUUGAGUGUAGCCAUUCAGCUAAUGGCUGAAAAGAAAACAUGAAACAAAGAAGAGUUGCUUUAAAGAUUGGCAGAGAGGUAAUCCAGAACACAAGAAUAACAAUCCAGUAAGAGCAAAAUGUGUGGCAAAGCAGAGUUAUUAAAAACAACCUAAUAGCAGCUCCUUCCGAGCACCACCCCACAAGCCAGAUCUCCCUCAGACUGAUUUUCUAUCUUUGGACUCAACUUACAACCAUUUGUCAUGUACAUACAUAUAUCUGAGCCAGACUGUUUUGUUUCUCUAUGUCAUCGAAUA